UGUUCCAUUUUUAUGCCCCACCUACGAUAGUAGAGGGGCAUUAUGUUUUCUGGUCUGUGCGUCGUUCGUUCGUUCGUCCGUCCGUUCGUUCGUCCGUCCGUUCGUUCGUCCGUCCGUUCGUUCGUUCGUCCGUCUGUCCCGCUUCAGGUUAAAGUUUUUGGUCGAGGUAGUUUUUGAUGAAGUUGAAGUCCAAUCGACUUCAAACUUGGUACACAUGUUCCCUAUGAUAUGAUCUUUCUAAUUUUAUUGCCAAAUUAGAGAUUUUACCCCAAUUUCACGGUCCACUGAACAUAGAAAAUGAUAGUGCGAGUGGGGCAUUCGUGUACUGAGGACACAUUCUUGUUUUUCUU
This 350-nucleotide long non-coding RNA is filed under the name Mytilus galloprovincialis (Mediterranean mussel). The record is from RNAcentral. Lineage: Eukaryota; Metazoa; Mollusca; Bivalvia; Mytilida; Mytilidae.